Molecule: ribosomal RNA, 481 nt
Filed under: Gigaspora margarita
Lineage: Eukaryota; Fungi; Glomeromycota; Glomeromycetes; Diversisporales; Gigasporaceae
Description: SSU rRNA
Rfam family: Eukaryotic small subunit ribosomal RNA
Source: RNAcentral
AUGGCUCAGCUCCAAUAGCGUAUAUUAAAGUUGUUGCAGUUAAAAAGCUCGUAGUUGAAUUUCGGGGUUCUACCGUUGGUCGGGCAAUAGUCUGUACUGGCGUGUAGAAUUUCUACCUUCUGGGGAACCAUCAUGUUAUUUAUUUAGCGUGGUGGGAAACCAGGACCUUUACCUUGAAAAAAUUAGAGUGUUCAAAGCAGGCUUACGUCUGAAUACAUUAGCAUGGAAUAAUAAAAUAGGACGGUGGUCCUGUUUUGUUGGUUUCUGAAUCACCGUAAUGAUUAAUAGGGAUAGUUGGGGGCAUUAGUAUUCAAUUGUCAGAGGUGAAAUUCUUGGAUUUAUUGAAGACUAACUUCUGCGAAAGCAUUUGCCAAGGAUGUUUUCAUUAAUCAAGAACGAAAGUUAGGGGAUCGAAGACGAUCAGAUACCGUCGUAGUCUUAACCAUAAACUAUGCCGACUAGGGAUCGGACGAUGUUAAUA